RNAcentral lists this ribosomal RNA (301 nucleotides) under uncultured bacterium. RNAcentral's name for it is "partial 16S ribosomal RNA". It matches the Rfam family "Bacterial small subunit ribosomal RNA", at positions 509 to 807 of the family's 1533-position model. The record is from RNAcentral.
CAGUCGCCACGGUAACACGAAGGGUGCAAGCGUUAAUCGGAAUUACUGGGCGUAAAGCGCGCGUAGGUGGUUUGGUAAGAUGGAUGUGAAAUCCCCGGGCUCAACCUGGGAACUGCAUCCAUAACUGCCUGACUAGAGUACGGUAGAGGGUGGUGGAAUUUCCUGUGUAGCGGUGAAAUGCGUAGAUAUAGGAAGGAACACCAGUGGCGAAGGCGACUACCUGGACUGAUACUGACACUGAGGUGCGAAAGCGUGGGGAGCAAACAGGAUUAGAUACCCGAGUAGUCCCUGUCUCUUAUAC